CGCGUAGGCGGUUUAUGCAGUCAGAUGUGAAAGCCUUCGGCUUAACCGGAGAAGUGCAUCGGAAACUGGAUAACUUGAGUGCAGAAGAGGGUAGUGGAACUCCAUGUGUAGCGGUGGAAUGCGUAGAUAUAUGGAAGAACACCAGUGGCGAAGGCGGCUACCUGGUCUGCAACUGACGCUGAGACUCGAAAGCAUGGGUAGCGAACA
Molecule: ribosomal RNA, 207 nt
Filed under: uncultured bacterium
Lineage: Bacteria
Description: partial 16S ribosomal RNA
Rfam family: Bacterial small subunit ribosomal RNA
Source: RNAcentral